GUUAUCAGCAUUCCAUAGGCUGGAGUAUGCCCUCAUACCUUGUUUGUUUGGAUAAGCAAUGCCCUCACUCUCGUAAUUACGGAACACACGGAUCGGCACACUGUCAACAUACCACCUGAAAUUGCAGUAAUGAAUCCUGAGGGCCCUGUAUGUUGGUGAAAUCACUGCACUUACAUAGUAGGCAGUGACGGUUCCAGCUGAGUUCCCAGGUACCAACUUGAUUAACAUCUGAAUGCUUCCAAACAGGAAUAACCGCUUUGAUUGAAUACCUGACCCUGAAACCCAAAAUUAAUACCUGAUGUUUGAUCCAAUACAAGUUGAAGCUCAUCUCCGUUGCCCAGAACUGCAGAAUGCUGAGCUCCCCAGUAGAAAUGCAUGCUUUUGAUGAAGUUGGCAUCAACUGGCCUAAGAUCAAAUGCUGUUAGAAAGACGAAUAGAACUACCAACAAAGUUCUUGAACUCCCCAUUUGAGAAAUUUUCAUCUUUGCUUCUAUGGUUCUACCAAAACUCUGGAGUUGAAAUGCAAUACUGGGUCCACAAAGUCCUGUGAUUGCUUGAUAUAUACAGCUUGCAGCCAGCAAAUAAGCCUUGCAAAGAUGAGCUCUGGUUCAAAAAAAAUUAGUUUAAAAAAUAUUUGACCAUUUCAAGAUAUUUGACAUUCAUAUUGGAAAAUAUAUUAUAAGAACAAAAGUUAUGCUCUCCAUGAAGAUGAUGUCCACAAAUUAACAAGUGUGGAAAGUACAAUAGGUUGAAGAGUUAGUGAAGUGAAUAUAUAUAUAUAUAUAUGUUCAUGUAGAAUGUUGGGAAUGUCAGAGUAAAAGGACUCGAGGAGGAUGCAGGUUUUUGUGAUGGGUUCAGCCCAGCUGGGACGUGGUUGGAGUAGGAGAAGGGCAAAGGUCGUGCUUAAGACUAAUGACGCAAAGGGGGGAGAGACCUUGGGCCAGCUGUGAGUUGUGAGAUGGACGUGGACGCCUAUGAGGAUUGAAUGGCCAGAAAGGGUGUGCAGUUUCAAUUUUAAUUUGAAUUUAUUUAAAAAUUAAAAUCACACUAAUAUAUUAAAAUAAAUUCAAUUUAAUAUAAUUUUUAUUGAUUGGAUACA
Hevea brasiliensis (rubber tree) is the source of this 1099-nucleotide long non-coding RNA. RefSeq lists it as uncharacterized. The transcript has 3 exons. The record is from RefSeq and is a predicted model, not a curated record. NCBI's taxonomy places the organism in Eukaryota, Viridiplantae, Streptophyta, Magnoliopsida, Malpighiales, Euphorbiaceae.